UAGUGAACAAGCUGCACUGCAGGCACCUUGCCAGUCAAUCCCAGGCUGCGCAGGUAGCACCAUUAGAAACUAUGGUGAGAGUUCACAGUCUCAAUCAAGUGCAUGGAAGGAUGCUGCAGAUGAAAUGUGUUGUACAUCGAGUGAAAGAACAUUCAUUGGAAAAGGAUGAAGGUAACAACUUAAAAUGGCUUCUUCCAUCUACUGGUGACUGGCAAUCUCUGUUGGCAGUUACAUUUA
This 237-nucleotide long non-coding RNA is filed under the name Chrysemys picta bellii (western painted turtle). RNAcentral describes it as "lncRNA (ENSCPBG00000026719.1)". Lineage: Eukaryota; Metazoa; Chordata; Testudines; Emydidae. The record is from RNAcentral.